Canis lupus familiaris (dog) is the source of this 73-nucleotide non-coding RNA. NCBI's taxonomy places the organism in Eukaryota, Metazoa, Chordata, Mammalia, Carnivora, Canidae. The record is from Rfam.
ACCUGGCUGGCUCAGUUGGUGGAGCAUGUGACUCUUGAUCUCAGGGUGGUGAGUUCAAGUCUCAUGCUGGGUG